AACGAACGCUGGCGGCGUGCCUGAGACAUGCAAGUCGUGGGAGAAAGUCGGAGCAAUCCGGCUAGUAAACCGGCGCACGGGUGAGUAACACGUGGACAACCUGCCUUGGAGUUCGGGAUAACCCGUCGAAAGACGGACUAAUACCGGAUAUGACCACGGGGAGUUCGCUCUCUGAGGUAAAAGAUGGCCUCUGCUCCUGCAAGCUAUCUCUUCGAGAGGGGUCCGCGUCCUGCAGCUAGUUGGUGAGGUAACGGCUCACCAAGGCUAAGACGGGUAGCUGGUCUGAGAGGAUGGUCAGCCACACUGGGACUGAGACACGGCCCAGAGUCCUACGGGAUGCAGCAGUCAGGAAUAUUGCGCAAUGGAGGAAACUCUGACGCAGCGACGCCGCGUGGGUGAUGAAGGCCUU
Molecule: ribosomal RNA, 409 nt
Filed under: uncultured bacterium
Lineage: Bacteria
Description: bacterial SSU rRNA
Rfam family: Bacterial small subunit ribosomal RNA
Source: RNAcentral